This 253-nucleotide ribosomal RNA is filed under the name uncultured bacterium. RNAcentral describes it as "partial 16S ribosomal RNA". It matches the Rfam family "Bacterial small subunit ribosomal RNA", at positions 524 to 776 of the family's 1533-position model. The record is from RNAcentral.
UACGAAGGGUGCUAGCGUUAUUCGGAAUCAUUGGGCGUAAAGGGUGCGCAGGCGGUUUGUUAAGUCAGUUGUUAAAUUCUUCGGCCUAACCGAAGGUCAGCAGCAGAUACUGGCAAGCUUGAGUAUGGAAGAGAGAAGUGGAAUUCUCGGAGUAGCGGUAAAAUGCGUAGAUCUCGAGAGGAACACCAAUGGCGAAGGCAGCUUCUUGGUCCAUAACUGACGCUCAUGCACGAAAGCGUGGGGAGCAAACAGG